This is a long non-coding RNA of Gallus gallus (chicken), 906 nucleotides long. RefSeq lists it as uncharacterized. NCBI's taxonomy places the organism in Eukaryota, Metazoa, Chordata, Aves, Galliformes, Phasianidae. The transcript has 3 exons. The record is from RefSeq and is a predicted model, not a curated record.
UUCCAUGGAAAUCCAGAAAGAGAAGACUAUAAAUUAGACCCUACUGCAGCUGGGCUUUUCAUAGCUGUAAAUUGAUCACAGACAACAAAGCACUGGCAAAAAUCCUCUCAAGGUAACCAGCAAGCUUUGAAAGACUCCCCUGUCAUGUAGGGAUGAACAUGAAACCUUUGGAAGAUUUUAAUGAGAAAGUAUAUGAGAUAAAAAACAUGCUGGUCCAUACUUGUCUCCCAUUGGCAAAUAUCAGAGAAUUGAGGACCCCUGCAUUUCUCUACUAAGUCUAAGACUCAGUUUCAGGUAUCCAGUCUGAACCUACCAGAAAAAAUACUGCCCCAAAGUCUUCCACAUGCCAGAAGUGUUCUUAGACCCAAGUAUCCACACUAUCGCAAAGAGGAGCGGCUGGCUCGGUGACAUUGCUUGGAAGAGCUGCUGCUACUGUGGUUGCUGGCGGGGCUGCCAGGGCCUCAUGAUGACUUUCACUCACCAUUGUAACCCCUGUGGAAGCUGCUGUUGGAAGAACAACAACAACAAAAAAAAAAACAAAGAACACGUUUACAUCAUGAAAACAAGAGCAACAGCAAACAGAGAACACGUUUACGUUAUGAAAAAGGAUCUCAUAUCAAUCAAAGACUAAAUAGGCAGGAUAUCACUAGGUGCUCAUGCUUACUGAGUAAAUAUGACCGUGUCAAUGCACUGCUUCAUGUUCUUCAUACAAUAUUUAUUAGAACAGAGAGAAAAGUCUCUUGCAGGGUUAAUUUCAGCCAGAAUCAUUUUAGUGCUUAGUGUUCCUCUUCAAUCACAUUGAGUUCUGAACUGCUGAAAUUGAAAACUCAGAAUUCUUGUAAAACUCACACAGAUUUACCUUUUGCUCUUCAAUUCUGAAAGUAAAGGCACAAAGGGUAAUUAGUG